RNAcentral lists this ribosomal RNA (460 nucleotides) under uncultured bacterium. RNAcentral describes it as "partial 16S ribosomal RNA". It matches the Rfam family "Bacterial small subunit ribosomal RNA", at positions 338 to 795 of the family's 1533-position model. The record is from RNAcentral.
CCUACGGGAGGCAGCAGUGAGGAAUAUUGGUCAAUGGACGAGAGUCUGAACCAGCCAAGUAGCGUGAAGGAUGACUGCCCUAUGGGUUGUAAACUUCUUUUAUAUGGGAAUAAAAUGUUCCACGUGUGGGAUUUUGUAUGUACCAUAUGAAUAAGGAUCGGCUAACUCCGUGCCAGCAGCCGCGGUAAUACGGAGGAUCCGAGCGUUAUCCGGAUUUAUUGGGUUUAAAGGGAGCGUAGGUGGAUUGUUAAGUCAGGUGUGAAAGUUUGCGGCUCAACCGCAAAAUUGCAGUUGAAACUGGCAGUCUUGAGUACAGUAGAGGUGGGCGGAAUUCGUGGUGUAGCGGUGAAAUGCUUAGAUAUCACGAAGAACUCCGAUUGCGAAGGCAGUUCACUGGACUGCAACUGACACUGAGGCUCGAAAGUGUGGGUAUCAAACAGGAUUAGAUACCCUAGUAGUC